RNAcentral lists this long non-coding RNA (649 nucleotides) under Lathyrus oleraceus (garden pea). RNAcentral's name for it is "Pisum sativum (pea) long non-coding RNA (PSAT_LNC027913)". The record is from RNAcentral. Lineage: Eukaryota; Viridiplantae; Streptophyta; Magnoliopsida; Fabales; Fabaceae.
AAAGCUGAAAAAUAAGUGCGAAAAUUAAAUUAAACUAAAAAUAAAAUAAAAUAUGAAAAUAUAAUAAUAUAUAAAAAUAAACAAAAUAAAAUAAAGAAAUGCCUAAGUAAAAAGUAGGAGAAUUGUGCAUAAAUAUGCACUUAUCAAAUUCCCCCGGACUUGAACUUUUGCACUCCGAGCAAAAUUGAAACAAAACAAAGAAAGCACACGCACAUCAAUAGCUACUCAUUCCAGGCUACAAGUCUUCUUCGGUUAAGUUUUCAUCGAUAGGUACUAAUCUUACACACUAAGGAUAUCGUAGGAACACUAAUCCACAAUUGUGCGGUCAUAAGGCUCCCUCCUAUACAAACCAAUCCAAAUCCUGUCGUUAUGCCUAAGUCUAACUUACUCAUCCUCUUUUUUCACUCUUUUUCAUUCUAGUGCAAUCACAUUAAGCCCUUUAUCUAUUCACACACAUGGUAACUGAGCUUGUUAGUGACUAUGAUCCAUUUUUUUUCUCAACAAUUUAGAAUUAAACAUUUUUUUUCUUUUCUUUUUUUCUUUUUCACUUUUUGUCUUUUUCUCUUUUUCUUCUUCUUUUUUUUUUAUAGCACAGGAUCAUUCACUUAUUUGCAUCAGCUCAACUACUUAGCAUGUGAUUUCUAGAUGG